Molecule: transfer RNA, 66 nt
Filed under: Typhlocyba choui
Lineage: Eukaryota; Metazoa; Arthropoda; Insecta; Hemiptera; Cicadellidae
Description: tRNA-Ser
Rfam family: tRNA
About the family: Transfer RNA (tRNA) molecules are approximately 80 nucleotides in length. Their secondary structure includes four short double-helical elements and three loops (D, anti-codon, and T loops). Further hydrogen bonds mediate the characteristic L-shaped molecular structure. tRNAs have two regions of fundamental functional importance: the anti-codon, which is responsible for specific mRNA codon recognition, and the 3' end, to which the tRNAs corresponding amino acid is attached (by aminoacyl-tRNA synthetases). tRNAs cope with the degeneracy of the genetic code in two manners: having more than one tRNA (with a specific anti-codon) for a particular amino acid; and 'wobble' base-pairing, i.e. permitting non-standard base-pairing at the 3rd anti-codon position.
Source: RNAcentral
AGCUGCUUAGCUUAAAUUAAAGCAUUUACUUUGAAAGUAAAAGUUAGAUAAAAAAUUUAGUUGCUU